GAUGGGCCCCAAGUUUAGGAUUAAGCUUAGUUUGGUAAGGUUAAAUGGCUUUACCCAAGGCGAACGAUCCCUUAGGCUGGUUUGGAGAGGGAUGAUCCAGCCCACACUGGGAAUUGAGACCCCGGCCCCAGACUCCUUACGGGAGGCAGCCAGUGGGGAAUUUUUGCACAAUGGGGGGAAACCCUUGAUGCAAGCCAUGCCGGGGUGUUUGAAGGAAGGCCUUUCGGGUUGUAAAAGCACUUUUCAGCAGUGAAGGAAGGUCGUGGGGGUUAAUACCCGCCAUUGAUUGACGUUAGCUGCAGAAGAAGCACCGGCUAAAUUCCGUGCCAGCAGCCGCGGUAAUACGGAGGGUGCGAGCGUUAAUUGGAAUUACUGGGCGUAAAGCGCAUGCAGGCGGUUUGUUAAGUCAGAUGUGAAAGCCCGGGGCUCAACCUUGGAACCGCAUUCGGAACUGGCAGGCUAGAGUUUUGUAGAAGGAGGUAGAAUUUCAGGUGUAGCGGUGAAAUGCGUAGAGAUUUGAAGGAAUACCAGUGGCGAAGGCGGCCCCCUGGACAAAGAAUGACGCUCAGAUGCGAAAGCGUGGGUAGCAAACAGGAUUAGAUACCCUGGUAGUUCAAGCCGUAAACGCUGUUUAAUUGGAGGUUGAGGUUUUAGACUCUUGCUUUCGGCGGUAACGCAUUAAGUAGACCGCCUGGGGAGUACGGCCGCAAGGUUAAAACUCAAAUGAAUUGACGGGGGCCCGCACAAGCGGUGGAGCAUGUGGUUUAAUUCGAUGCAAACCGAAGAACCUUACCUACUCUUGACAUCCAGAGAACCUUUCAGAGAUGGAUUGGUGCCUUUGGGAACUGUGAGACAGGUGCUGCAUGGGUGUUGUUAGCUCGUGUUGUGAAAUGUUGGGUUAAGUCCCGCAACGAGGGCAACCCUUAUCCUUGUUUGCCAGCACAUAAUGGUGGGAACUCCAGGGAGACUGCCGGUGAUAAACCGGAGGAAGGUGGGGACGACGUCAAGUCAUCAUGGCCCUUACGAGUAGGGCUACACACGUGCUACAAUGGCAGAUACAGAGGGCAGCGAAGCUGCGAAGUGGAGCGAAUCCCUUAAAGUCUGUCGUAGUCCGGAUUGGAGUCUGCAACUCGACUCCAUGAAGUCGGAAUCGCUAGUAAUCGUGAUCAGAGCCCGAUUCCCGGUUUU
Molecule: ribosomal RNA, 1188 nt
Filed under: Salinivibrio sharmensis
Lineage: Bacteria; Pseudomonadati; Pseudomonadota; Gammaproteobacteria; Vibrionales; Vibrionaceae
Description: bacterial SSU rRNA
Rfam family: Bacterial small subunit ribosomal RNA
Source: RNAcentral